CUGCAUGGCUGUCGUCAGCUCGUGUCGUGAGAUGUUGGGUUAAGUCCCGCAACGAGCGCAACCCUUGCCUUUAGUUGCCAGCAGUUCGGCUGGGCACUCUAAAGGGACUGCCGGUGUUAAACCGGAGGAAGGUGGGGAAUGACGUCAAGUCCUCAUGGCCUUUAUGACCAGGGCUACACACGUACUACAAUGGCCGAUACAAAGGGCAGCGACACUGCGAGGUGAAGCCAAUCCCGUAAAAUCGGUCUCAGUCCGGAUUGGAGUCUGCAACUCGACUCCAUGAAGUUGGAAUCGCUAGUAAUCGUGGAUCAGCAUGCCACGGUGAAUACGUUCCCGGGCCUU
RNAcentral lists this ribosomal RNA (342 nucleotides) under uncultured Desulfobulbus sp. RNAcentral's name for it is "bacterial SSU rRNA". It matches the Rfam family "Bacterial small subunit ribosomal RNA", at positions 1041 to 1382 of the family's 1533-position model. The record is from RNAcentral. Lineage: Bacteria; Pseudomonadati; Thermodesulfobacteriota; Desulfobulbia; Desulfobulbales; Desulfobulbaceae.